AGACGGGGCGGGGCGAUCCGUAGGCAGGGCCUGACGCCGCAGUUCUCCUUGGCCGGAGCCUCAACGGAUGGGCGGGGAGGGGGCGGGGCCGGGCAACCCGGAAGGUCCGGCGUCCCAGCCGCCUACCUCGCUGGGACCCUGGUCUUGCUGUCCCCCGCUGGCCUCCUGCCCAAGCGACUGCGGCCAGGAUGGGCCGGAAGGUGACCGUGGCCACCUGCGCACUCAACCAGUGGGCCCUGGACUUCGAGGGCAAUUUGCAAAGAAUUUUAAAGAGUAUUGAAAUUGCCAAAAACAGAGGAGCAAGAUACAGGCUUGGACCAGAGCUGGAAAUAUGCGGCUACGGAUGUUGGGAUCAUUAUUACGAGUCGGACACCCUCUUGCACUCGUUUGAAGUCCUAGCGGCCCUUCUGGAGUCUCCCGUCACUCAGGACAUCAUCUGCGACGUGGGGAUGUAAGUGCCAGUGUGAGUGUGGAAGGGUAAACCUGGGACAAAGGCAAGCUCAAGGGCGUGACCCACCCAACCGGCCUCCAUCCAGGGUGUGGAACAUCCAUGUGUCCAGGGAUACGAAAGGCCUUAUGCUUGAAAAGUGGGUUUUGUUCCUAUCUCAGCCCCGUAAGCCACCUCAUUUCCCCUGCAAGGAGGGAGCUCCUGAAAGCAGGAUGUGUCAGUUCUUCCAGAAAGUCCUGUGCACACAUCAGCAGACUCUGCACAAAGGGGAAUGCAGCAUUCACCCCACCCCGUGCAGAGAGCUUGACUCACAUCACAGGGAGCCCUGGGGCUCGUUCCAUGUCCACAUGUUGCCACACGGUUCCCAUGUCCUAGGCUGCAUAUGUGUAGCUCCACAAGGAAGGCCUCUGCAUGCUCCAUGCUGGUGUCUGUGCUGUACCCUGCAUCGCCGGUCCCUAUGGAGGCCUCUGCACACGCUGUGCUGGUGUCUGUGCUGUACCCUGCAUAGCCAGUCC
RNAcentral lists this small RNA (963 nucleotides) under Pan troglodytes (chimpanzee). RNAcentral's name for it is "retained intron". Lineage: Eukaryota; Metazoa; Chordata; Mammalia; Primates; Hominidae. The record is from RNAcentral.